Long non-coding RNA from Manis javanica (Malayan pangolin), 3565 nucleotides. RefSeq lists it as uncharacterized. Lineage: Eukaryota; Metazoa; Chordata; Mammalia; Pholidota; Manidae. The record is from RefSeq and is a predicted model, not a curated record.
UCCGCAGUCCGCCCUCCGGUUCCUCACCCGCGCCGUGCCGGGAGAGGCCACCCUUCCACCUGCGCUGCAGCUUCCGACCGGGAGGCGAUGGGCCAGGUCCUCCCACCCAGGCCCGACUUCCGGGCCCUCCUGGCAUGCCGGGAGCCGGUCCCUUCGCGAGGAGGGGCUUACCCAGGUAUUUUUGGCUUGGGGGUGUUAGUUUUUGUUAAAGGGGUAAAGUGAAAGUCCUCGGAAUUAGUUAAGUGCGACGGAUAUACUCGUCGGCCAGUCUGGACCCUGAGCGCAACUUGCAGCAGGUGUGGAGGAAACUAAGCCAUGGAGGUGGAAGGUGGCGGCAGGUGACAUUCACCCACUGAUGAGUGAGGGUUGCUCCUCCUGGGGCAAGGCGGAAACCAUUCCAGUUCACCCCAGAGGCUGGUGACUUCCAUCAUGGUGCCCUCUGGAGGGCUCCGGGAGAAUCUGAGCAGGAGGAGCUUUAGGUGUGAUGGAGCUGUUACUAGUUUUGCAUCUUCCAGGGAGGGGCUAACCCAAUCCCCAAACACCCGACUCCUGGAACAGCAGGGGUUCAUGAAAGACUGGCAUUGGAAACUCUCCGCAAAGCCAGGGCAGUCUCAGCAGAUGCAACCUUUGGAAACAACUUAGGUGAUUUAAAUUAAUUUCCAGGCAUUCCCAAGGAGAUCUAAAGAUAGCCACAGCUUUCCCAUUGCCAUGGUUGGCAAACAGCCUCUUGAAGUUCACCUGUGUCCAUAAGCCUUGUGUCCAUAAACCCCAUGAACUCCUUUUGCUUGGCCUCUUCCAGCCUUCUGUUGUGCCUCUUUCUUCUGUGAGCUGGCCAGUGCCUCCCUUCUCUGUGUCUGCUUUGGUUUUCUAUUUCCCUUACCUAAUCAAACCUACCUCUGCCCACUCUUCCAUUUCUCUAGAGCAGCAGGAGUUGGGAGAAAGCUGAAGCAAACCAAGGCAAAAUCAAGUAGCAAAGGAGGUUAAAACGUGAAUGCGUUUGAUUUAGAGCUCAACUUUGGCAUGCCCAGGCUGUCUCUAGUGGAUGAGCCAGGCUCCCAGUAGCCCAGGCCCUGAGCCUCACCAGGCCACCUAAAGUGGCUCCUCCCAAGUUCAGCCCUGCAGCCACACAGGCUGCACUCCAAUAGACUGGGACAGAGAAAACAAUGCCCACACCAUUCUCCCUCCAAAAAUCUCAAGUAUUUGACCCUGAUUUUGUAUGUUCCUAAAGUCAUUUUUCUCCUAUCAAAAACUGAGAAACGUGACAAAAGGUAAAUGUCUAGGUUGUGGCCUUGGAUAUUCUACCCAGUUUCUUCCCAUCCCUCCUAACCUUCAAACCUGUCAUAGUCACAUAAUCUAUGACUCAAACUAUUAUUUAACCAUGAAAAAAGACAAACCAGGAAAUUAGAGGCUGAAUGACCUAAACUUUAUUCCAUUCAACUGAGCUAAUCUCCUCAAAAGGGUGUGUAUACUAAAUCAUAUUAUAUCUGUUCUGGAAGACAUGAACAUUGCAGGGAAAAGCACAUGGUGACUACAGAUCCCAACUUGUUGAGAUUUGUCCUCAAAAGGGUAAGUGCCUGGUUGUAAGCCAAGUUGCCUAGCAGUUUGCUAAAUUAGCCUUAACAUUUGGGAACCAAUAUGUUGCAAUGGAGAGCACCCAAUGUUUAGGCUGACCACAUUCAUAUCCUGGCACUGUCACUGCUUAGGCAAGCAAGGGACUUACCUGCCCUCCCUAAGUCUCCUCCACUGUGAAAUGGCAGUGACAGCAAUACCCAUCUCCUGGGGCCACUGUGAGGACAGAUGAGUAAAGUGCUUGGCACAUGUGAGCAGCGCCCCCUCCCUAAAAGCACCCCCAGUCAACUGUUGCUGUAUGGUAAGCAGCAAAUUGGCAAGACCGAGAAGAAGGCUGGAGGCUCCACAAAGUGGGGUUCCACAGAGUCACUGGAACACAGUCAAGUAUCCUGAGCAAGAGAGAGAAGAGGAUCCCAGAGGAGGCAGCUGGCGGGUGGAGCACUGCAGGGAGAGCCAAGGACAGCCCCUCACAGCAGGGUUGGGAGGACGCAGGGGGCUCCACUCCAGUCCUCCCGCAUUAGCGCAACGCGGCUGCAUCCCCACCCUCACAUGUGUUCAUCCUUACGUGAAACUCAGCACAUACUGACCUCACACCCACGAUGUGCAUGGCUCUGGCGGGUGGAGUGCUGUAGCGGGAGUGAACGUAAGAAGUGAUCAGAUUGGCAUCAGAGACUUAACAAACCAGGUAUUUCUGCCCAGAUUCAGAAACCUAUCUUUUCAGGAGCUAGAUUGUAAGGAUAUGACCAAAUACUGAAAAAAUCUUAGUUCAGGAUCAGUUUUUUUCUUCUUUAAGUAGAAAGGCAAAGAGUUAAUAAAAUGUUCUGGAAAUGUCAACAUCAACUGAAUCUUGGUACUAUUUAGGGGGCAUUAUUCAUUUGUAGGUGAAAUAAGGACAAGGUGGUUAAGUUGAAUGAGUCCAUUUUUUUAAAGAUGCAUACUGAAAUACUGCCAGAUGAUAUGAGCUUAUGUAUAGGGUUUACCUCAGUAUUAUAUGGGAGAUGGGGAGGCAGAUGGUGGUAAAAAUAGACAAGUAUGGCCAGGUGGUGGUGAGGUUGGUGAUGGGGCACAUGGGGGUUCAUCAUACUCCUCUGUCUCCUUCUGUAUAUGUCUGAAAUUUUCCAUCAUAAAUGUUUUAAAUUCCUAAAAGCUGAAAAAAAAUUUUAACUCAGGAAUUUCUUGUCUUAUUGGUUCUUGCAACCUGUUGUUUACUUCCCAAGGACAUGUGCUCUUGGACAAGAGAUGAGGCUGUGGGAGACAUGCCAGAUGCCAGGGUAGGCUGGAGAACAGGCAGGGAGACCACCACCCCAGGUCAGGAAAGCACCUCAGACCCUCCUCCCUACACAAGGAUGAAGACCAAGGGGUGGUGUCCUGCCCCUCGGAGCCUCCCAGGCCAGAAUGCAGCUCAUGAAGGCCACCAGGCUGAGGAGGCUGCAUGGAGUGGAGGCCCUGAGGCUGGAGUAGGAGUGGAAAGAUGUGGUGCCUCCCAGAAGGUGUGCAAAGAGAGGGGGAUACUGUGUGCGGCUCUUCUGUGCCCACUUUGGCACAGUUUUGUGCAGGACAAAGAGAAGACUGCUCAGAUCAAAGCCGGGCUUAUUAAAUUUCUCAGCCACAGGCUGAAGACACAUGCUAUGGGAGACAGGCCCACAUGGGAAAGCCUGGGGAGAGCCAGCCUUGAAGAGGCCAGGCGUGCACCAGAGGCUGAGAGGAGCCCACCUUCCUCAGAGUAGGUUUGGGCCUCCUUAGGAUGGGGAAGAAAGAGUUAAGAGUCUGGCUGUGGAGGGCGGCUUUGCAGCUAUAAACAGAGAGCCCAGGGAGGGAGCAAGCUGACACAGGAUGUGGCCAGGGCUCAAGCUGUCUGAUUAUUAACUUCACUUUUAUUUGGAGGGGGAUUCGAUUCUGUUUUACUUCCCAUCAAGGAAGUGAAAGCCCAGAUCUCAGAGGGGCCCUGGUUUCAAAUUGUUUUGUCACAGCUCAUUCAUUUUUCCUCUUAAAUAAA